UACGAACCGGACAAACGUUAUUCGGAAUCACUGGGCUUACAGGGUGCGUAGGCGGUCUGGAGGGUGGGGUGUGAAAUCCCUCGGCUCAACCGAGGAAUUGCGCUCCAAACCGGCAGACUUGAGGGAGACAGAGGUGUGCGGAACUGAUGGUGGAGCGGUGAAAUGCGUUGAUAUCAUCAGGAACACCAGUGGCGAAAGCGGCACACUGGGUCUCUACUGACGCUGAGGCACGAAAGCCAGGGGAGCGAACGGG
This 253-nucleotide ribosomal RNA is filed under the name uncultured bacterium. Its description in RNAcentral is "partial 16S ribosomal RNA". It matches the Rfam family "Bacterial small subunit ribosomal RNA", at positions 524 to 776 of the family's 1533-position model. The record is from RNAcentral. RNAcentral also lists the same sequence under 2 other names.